UGGGGAAUUUUGCACAAUGGGGGAAACCCUGAUGCAGCGACGCCGCGUGUACGAUGAAGAUCUUCGGAUUGUAAAGUACUGUCCUUGGUGAAGAUAAUGACUGUAACCAAGAAGCAAGCCCUGGCUAAAUACGUGCCAGCAGCCGCGGUAAUACGUAUGGGGCAAGCGUUAUCCGGAAUUACUGGGCGUAAAGCGCACGUAGGCUGCUUUGUAAGUCAGGGGUGAAAUCCCACGGCUCAACCGUGGAACUGCCUUUGAUACUGCUUAGCUUGAAUCCGGGAGAGGGUGGCGGAAUUCCAGGUGUAGGAGUGAAAUCCGUAGAUAUCUGGAGGAACAUCAGUGGCGAAGGCGGCCACCUGGACCGGUAUUGACGCUGAGGUGCGAAAGCGUGGGGAGCAAACAGG
RNAcentral lists this ribosomal RNA (404 nucleotides) under Fusobacteriota bacterium. RNAcentral's name for it is "Fusobacteria bacterium partial 16S ribosomal RNA". It matches the Rfam family "Bacterial small subunit ribosomal RNA", at positions 355 to 776 of the family's 1533-position model. Lineage: Bacteria; Fusobacteriati; Fusobacteriota. The record is from RNAcentral.